AUGGAGGUCGAGAUCAAGCUCCGGCUCCCCGACGCGGCCGCACACCGGCGCCUCUCCUCCUUCCUCGCGCCCCGCCUGCUCCGCACCGACGCCCCCGCGUGGCCCCUCGCCGCCGCCACCGCCGCCCAGCGGGUCUGCCUCUACGGCACCGACGACCGCGACCCCUCCCGCGCCGUCCUCACGCUCAAGCGCCACCCGCGCAUCGACGCUGGCGUCAGCCGCGUUGAGGAGGUCGUGGAGCCCCUCGACCCCGCCCUUGUCCUCACCUGCGUCGACAACCCCGCCCGUCUCGGCGCGGUCGACUCCCCCAUUGUCCGGCUCGUCUCCGACGAGUACGGCCUCGGCAGGGACAAAUCGCCGUUCGUCUUCCUCGGCGACUUCCGGAACACCCGCGGUGUGUAUGAGCUCGAGGAGUGCGAGGGGCAGGGGCUCGUGCUAGAGCUCGACGAGACACACUUCGAUUUCGGCACAAACUACGAGAUGGAGUGCGAGACCGCGGAGCCCGACCAGGCCAAGGAGGUCCUGGAGCGGCUGCUCACCAUGGCUGGGGUGCCGUAUGAGUACUCCCGGAGCAAUAAGUUCGCGUGCUUCAUGGCCGGGAAGCUGCUUCCGUGA
Molecule: ribosomal RNA, 615 nt
Filed under: Triticum aestivum (bread wheat)
Lineage: Eukaryota; Viridiplantae; Streptophyta; Magnoliopsida; Poales; Poaceae
Description: partial small subunit ribosomal RNA
Source: RNAcentral